This is a long non-coding RNA of Cyprinus carpio carpio, 1884 nucleotides long. Lineage: Eukaryota; Metazoa; Chordata; Actinopteri; Cypriniformes; Cyprinidae. The record is from Ensembl.
GAAGCUUCAGAUGCAAACACGUGUUUUAACUAGAGGUUUUUCUUUUGCAGCAAUGGCGACUGCGACGAGCAUGGCCUCAUGGGAAGUUUCCAUGCAGGCUGCUGGGAUGAGCAGGCGGAAAUCUAUUAAAUUUAAGGGCUCCUUCACGUGAUCUUGGAGGGCAUGGUGACCAUAGAUGUUGUAUUGAUCAUCCCACUUUGUCUUGGUGAUGAUGGUGUGGCUAUAAAGAUGUUCAUUGUUGGAACAAAAUGGCUUUUUCAGCAAGAACCUGCAACUCCCUAAGGACUGUUAUUUGUCCAAAACAAAGUGGGUCAAGUCCUUUGCUGGUAUUAGGUUGCGUACCUGAAGUACUCUCAGCAGGUUGCAUACCUGAAAUACUCCGCAGGUGGCACAUCUGAGAUGAGACAUUCACAGGUGAGAAUUCUGUUCCUAAUAUACAAAAUGACAAACCUAUUGCAGCUGGUCCUUUUAUGAUGUUACUUGCACAUGUCUUAUGCCCUGUGUCAAUACCAGAACCUGAAAAGGUGAACCCACUGGUGUUGCCUGGGUAACAAGGGGAUGACUUGUUGGGGUUACCAACAGUCUGAGAAGGACUAGCUUUAGUGUAGACAAGUUUCUUUACAUACGUUCCCUAAUCUUGUUUCUCUUGAUUCCUUGCAGGACUACAGUGGAUUCUUGAAGUCCUUCCCCCUUGAGCAUACUAUAACAGUAUGUAUUUUGUGUUUUCAACUUCAGAGACAUGUGAGCUAUCCUAGUAGGUGUGAUGAUGGAAUUACCGCCCCAGUCUGAUUAAUCUGACUGAAUGGUACCCUCUGACCUCAGUAACUGUUUAAACGAGGCGUUUUAGGAGGACGUGGAUGAGUCUUAACUUUUUAUAAAGAAUAUCUCUUUGGGUUUGAGACUUUAGUUCUUUGCAACUUUAGGGAUCUUAUCCUUUCACAAACAACUUGUAACUCAAAAGAGAAAGGAAAACUUAAUCGCAUCAUAUGACCCCUUUAGUAAAAAUUUACUACUGACAUUACAGCAUUUACAUAUGUGUAGCUCUCCCAUCUAAAUGCCUGGGAAAUAAGGGGAUGACUUGAGUACCAACAGUCUAAUAAGGAGUAGCAUUAGCAUACAUGAAGCAUGUUCAAUUAUUUGUUUUUGUUUCCUUACAGGACUGCAGUGAAUUUUCCCUCAGAGUUCUUUACCCCUUGAGCGUACUGAAGCUGGUAUGUAUUUUGUAUUUUCAAGUUGCGUUACAUGUGAAAUAGUAGGUGUGAUGACUGAGUUACCGCCCCAGUCUGAUUUAUCUGACUGAAUGGUACCCUCUGACCUCAGUGAUUUGUUUUGUUUGAAACUUACACAAUGUUGAUUGAAAAAGUAUGGAUAUGAGUUGAUUGCCCCAGGCUGAAAAGUAAAGACAGAUUGAUAUCCCCUCUGAUCCAUACUUCAUGUCUGUACUUUUUUUUUUUUUUUCUCCUCCCUUGUUCUUUAGGUGUUGCUACUGUCCAUCCAGGUUGUCCCAGUGUCACUUGAUUGCUGGUGUUCUGUUGACUUUUAAAGGUUUGUAUUUUGUAUCAGCUUUUGAAAGUUUAGUUUUACUUUUUAAUGAUGACAUUUAUCGCCCCAGUCUGAUGUGUUAUGACUGAUUGAUGAUUCUGAUAAAUCUAGAAAUAUUUAAAGGUGCUGAUUUAAGAGACUUUUACUGACACUCUUUAUCUCCCCCAGGUCACGUAAACUGCAUCAGAAGUUGAACUGGCUGACACACUGAUCUGUGUCCUUGUACAUCUGCUUAACUGGAGUGUUGGCUGAAUGGUGUUAUUGACUGACGAUAUAAAUGGAAUGUGUUUCCUUUGUAUUCUUUAUUCAAAAGCUGCUUGCAAAAUAAAUGGCUUUACUGAA